CACGUAGGGCGCAAGCGUUGUCCGGAAUUAUUGGGCGUAAAGAGCUCGUAGGUGGCUUGCCACGUCUGCUGUGAAAACCCGGGGCUUAACCCUGGGCCUGCAGUGGAUACGGGCAAGCUAGAGGUAGGUAGGGGAGAAUGGAAUUCCCGGUGUAGCGGUGAAAUGCGCAGAUAUCGGGAGGAACACCGGUGGCGAAGGCGGUUCUCUGGGCCUUACCUGACACUGAGGAGCGAAAGCGUGGGGAG
This 245-nucleotide ribosomal RNA is filed under the name uncultured bacterium. RNAcentral describes it as "partial 16S ribosomal RNA". It matches the Rfam family "Bacterial small subunit ribosomal RNA", at positions 524 to 768 of the family's 1533-position model. The record is from RNAcentral.